GCGGAUGUGAUGGAACUGGUAGACAUGCAAGAUUUAGGUUCUUGUGCCGUGAGGCGUGGGGGUUCAAGUCCCUUCAUCCGUACCA
This 85-nucleotide transfer RNA is filed under the name Rickettsia rickettsii. RNAcentral describes it as "tRNA-Leu". It matches the Rfam family "tRNA". Rfam says of the family: Transfer RNA (tRNA) molecules are approximately 80 nucleotides in length. Their secondary structure includes four short double-helical elements and three loops (D, anti-codon, and T loops). The record is from RNAcentral. RNAcentral also lists the same sequence under 44 other names. Lineage: Bacteria; Pseudomonadati; Pseudomonadota; Alphaproteobacteria; Rickettsiales; Rickettsiaceae.